RNAcentral lists this ribosomal RNA (1412 nucleotides) under Streptococcus salivarius. RNAcentral describes it as "bacterial SSU rRNA". It matches the Rfam family "Bacterial small subunit ribosomal RNA". Lineage: Bacteria; Bacillati; Bacillota; Bacilli; Lactobacillales; Streptococcaceae. The record is from RNAcentral.
GCAGUAGAACGCUGAAGAGAGGAGCUUGCUCUUCUUGGAUGAGUUGCGAACGGGUGAGUAACGCGUAGGUAACCUGCCUUGUAGCGGGGGAUAACUAUUGGAAACGAUAGCUAAUACCGCAUAACAAUGGAUGACACAUGUCAUUUAUUUGAAAGGGGCAAUUGCUCCACUACAAGAUGGACCUGCGUUGUAUUAGCUAGUAGGUGAGGUAACGGCUCACCUAGGCGACGAUACAUAGCCGACCUGAGAGGGUGAUCGGCCACACUGGGACUGAGACACGGCCCAGACUCCUACGGGAGGCAGCAGUAGGGAAUCUUCGGCAAUGGGGGCAACCCUGACCGAGCAACGCCGCGUGAGUGAAGAAGGUUUUCGGAUCGUAAAGCUCUGUUGUAAGUCAAGAACGAGUGUGAGAGUGGAAAGUUCACACUGUGACGGUAGCUUACCAGAAAGGGACGGCUAACUACGUGCCAGCAGCCGCGGUAAUACGUAGGUCCCGAGCGUUGUCCGGAUUUAUUGGGCGUAAAGCGAGCGCAGGCGGUUUGAUAAGUCUGAAGUUAAAGGCUGUGGCUCAACCAUAGUUCGCUUUGGAAACUGUCAAACUUGAGUGCAGAAGGGGAGAGUGGAAUUCCAUGUGUAGCGGUGAAAUGCGUAGAUAUAUGGAGGAACACCGGUGGCGAAAGCGGCUCUCUGGUCUGUAACUGACGCUGAGGCUCGAAAGCGUGGGGAGCGAACAGGAUUAGAUACCCUGGUAGUCCACGCCGUAAACGAUGAGUGCUAGGUGUUGGAUCCUUUCCGGGAUUCAGUGCCGCAGCUAACGCAUUAAGCACUCCGCCUGGGGAGUACGACCGCAAGGUUGAAACUCAAAGGAAUUGACGGGGGCCCGCACAAGCGGUGGAGCAUGUGGUUUAAUUCGAAGCAACGCGAAGAACCUUACCAGGUCUUGACAUCCCGAUGCUAUUUCUAGAGAUAGAAAGUUACUUCGGUACAUCGGUGACAGGUGGUGCAUGGUUGUCGUCAGCUCGUGUCGUGAGAUGUUGGGUUAAGUCCCGCAACGAGCGCAACCCCUAUUGUUAGUUGCCAUCAUUCAGUUGGGCACUCUAGCGAGACUGCCGGUAAUAAACCGGAGGAAGGUGGGGAUGACGUCAAAUCAUCAUGCCCCUUAUGACCUGGGCUACACACGUGCUACAAUGGUUGGUACAACGAGUUGCGAGUCGGUGACGGCAAGCUAAUCUCUUAAAGCCAAUCUCAGUUCGGAUUGUAGGCUGCAACUCGCCUACAUGAAGUCGGAAUCGCUAGUAAUCGCGGAUCAGCACGCCGCGGUGAAUACGUUCCCGGGCCUUGUACACACCGCCCGUCACACCACGAGAGUUUGUAACACCCGAAGUCGGUGAGGUAACCUUUGGAGCCAGCCG